This 222-nucleotide long non-coding RNA is filed under the name Phoenix dactylifera (date palm). Its description in RNAcentral is "long non-coding RNA (PDAC_LNC016985)". Lineage: Eukaryota; Viridiplantae; Streptophyta; Magnoliopsida; Arecales; Arecaceae. The record is from RNAcentral.
GAGAACGCCGACCAGAGAAAGCGCUUGCCUAAAGAGCGCCGACCAGGAAACCAACCAAAGAGCGGAAGUAAAGACGCUCGCCCAAAGGGCGCCGAGCAGAAGUACUAUGAAGCAACCCCGCCACAGGGCGCCCCAUUGGGCGACCAGCUCGGCUCGGCACCCCUGCCGAGCCGAUUGCCUUGGACCAAAUGUUCAACUUCCGCCUAACCCUCUAAGCCUGAG